This 497-nucleotide ribosomal RNA is filed under the name uncultured bacterium. RNAcentral's name for it is "partial 16S ribosomal RNA". It matches the Rfam family "Bacterial small subunit ribosomal RNA", at positions 28 to 507 of the family's 1533-position model. The record is from RNAcentral.
GAUGAACGCUGGCGGCGUGCCUAAUACAUGCAAGUCGAGCGAACAGACGAGGAGCUUGCUCCUCUGACGUUAGCGGCGGACGGGUGAGUAACACGUGUAUAACCUACCUAUAAGACUGGGAUAACUUCGGGAAACCGGAGCUAAUACCGGAUAAUAUAUUGAACCGCAUGGUUCAAUAGUGAAAUACGGUUUUGCUGUCACUUAUAGAUGGAUCCGCGCCGCAUUAGCUAGUUGGUAAGGUAACGGAUUACCAAGGCAACGAUGCGUAGCCGACCUGAGAGGGUGAUCGGCCACACUGGAACUGAGACACGGUCCAGACUCCUACGGGAGGCAGCAGUAGGGAAUCUUCCGCAAUGGGCGAAAGCUUGACGGAGCAACGCCGCGUGAGUGAUGAAGGUCUUCGGAUCGUAAAACUCUGUUAUUAGGGAAGAACAAAUGUGUAAGUAACUAUGCACGUCUUGACGGUACCUAAUCAGAAAGCCACGGCUAACUACGUG